This 450-nucleotide long non-coding RNA is filed under the name Vigna radiata. Its description in RNAcentral is "long non-coding RNA (VRAD_LNC003347)". The record is from RNAcentral. Lineage: Eukaryota; Viridiplantae; Streptophyta; Magnoliopsida; Fabales; Fabaceae.
GGAGUGUAUUGUGAUUGAUAAACCUCUAACACAUGUCAAGUGUCUUUGGUUCAUAUAGCUUGCUAUACCAACUACAUUGUGUGUUAAGUUUAUAAAUCUAAGACUGGUUCAUAUAGCUUGUUAUACCAGUUCUAAUGCAUUACAUCCUAUGAAACCUAGAAUAAAAGUUUCUUAUCUUUCUUUUAGUGUUAAAACUAUUUGAGUCAAAGAUUUUUUUUCUUUCUUUCAACUUUCUUUUAGAAUAAGUGGGGGAUUGUUGUAAUAAAGAUAUGUUAUUGCAAAAGAAUAUUUUGCAAAUGUAACGUUGAUUGCAACGUUCCUUCUUUGAACGUUGGUAUGCUAUUAAUUGGCAACGGGAAAAAUUGAGCAACAUUAAAAUUUUUUAUGAUUUUUUAAUUCCUUUUAUUUAAUUGUUCUUUCCCUAGCUCUAUGAAUAGGGAGCUCCCCCUC